RNAcentral lists this ribosomal RNA (2774 nucleotides) under Staphylococcus aureus. Its description in RNAcentral is "partial 23S ribosomal RNA". It matches the Rfam family "Bacterial large subunit ribosomal RNA". The record is from RNAcentral. Lineage: Bacteria; Bacillati; Bacillota; Bacilli; Caryophanales; Staphylococcaceae.
UCCGAAUGGGGAAACCCAGCAUGAGUUAUGUCAUGUUAUCGAUAUGUGAAUACAUAGCAUAUCAGAAGGCACACCCGGAGAACUGAAACAUCUUAGUACCCGGAGGAAGAGAAAGAAAAUUCGAUUCCCUUAGUAGCGGCGAGCGAAACGGGAAGAGCCCAAACCAACAAGCUUGCUUGUUGGGGUUGUAGGACACUCUAUACGGAGUUACAAAGGACGACAUUAGACGAAUCAUCUGGAAAGAUGAAUCAAAGAAGGUAAUAAUCCUGUAGUCGAAAAUGUUGUCUCUCUUGAGUGGAUCCUGAGUACGACGGAGCACGUGAAAUUCCGUCGGAAUCUGGGAGGACCAUCUCCUAAGGCUAAAUACUCUCUAGUGACCGAUAGUGAACCAGUACCGUGAGGGAAAGGUGAAAAGCACCCCGGAAGGGGAGUGAAAUAGAACCUGAAACCGUGUGCUUACAAGUAGUCAGAGCCCGUUAAUGGGUGAUGGCGUGCCUUUUGUAGAAUGAACCGGCGAGUUACGAUUUGAUGCAAGGUUAAGCAGUAAAUGUGGAGCCGUAGCGAAAGCGAGUCUGAAUAGGGCGUUUAGUAUUUGGUCGUAGACCCGAAACCAGGUGAUCUACCCUUGGUCAGGUUGAAGUUCAGGUAACACUGAAUGGAGGACCGAACCGACUUACGUUGAAAAGUGAGCGGAUGAACUGAGGGUAGCGGAGAAAUUCCAAUCGAACCUGGAGAUAGCUGGUUCUCUCCGAAAUAGCUUUAGGGCUAGCCUCAAGUGAUGAUUAUUGGAGGUAGAGCACUGUUUGGACGAGGGGCCCCUCUCGGGUUACCGAAUUCAGACAAACUCCGAAUGCCAAUUAAUUUAACUUGGGAGUCAGAACAUGGGUGAUAAGGUCCGUGUUCGAAAGGGAAACAGCCCAGACCACCAGCUAAGGUCCCAAAAUAUAUGUUAAGUGGAAAAGGAUGUGGCGUUGCCCAGACAACUAGGAUGUUGGCUUAGAAGCAGCCAUCAUUUAAAGAGUGCGUAAUAGCUCACUAGUCGAGUGACACUGCGCCGAAAAUGUACCGGGGCUAAACAUAUUACCGAAGCUGUGGAUUGUCCUUUGGACAAUGGUAGGAGAGCGUUCUAAGGGCGUUGAAGCAUGAUCGUAAGGACAUGUGGAGCGCUUAGAAGUGAGAAUGCCGGUGUGAGUAGCGAAAGACGGGUGAGAAUCCCGUCCACCGAUUGACUAAGGUUUCCAGAGGAAGGCUCGUCCGCUCUGGGUUAGUCGGGUCCUAAGCUGAGGCCGACAGGCGUAGGCGAUGGAUAACAGGUUGAUAUUCCUGUACCACCUAUAAUCGUUUUAAUCGAUGGGGGGACGCAGUAGGAUAGGCGAAGCGUGCGAUUGGAUUGCACGUCUAAGCAGUAAGGCUGAGUAUUAGGCAAAUCCGGUACUCGUUAAGGCUGAGCUGUGAUGGGGAGAAGACAUUGUGUCUUCGAGUCGUUGAUUUCACACUGCCGAGAAAAGCCUCUAGAUAGAAAAUAGGUGCCCGUACCGCAAACCGACACAGGUAGUCAAGAUGAGAAUUCUAAGGUGAGCGAGCGAACUCUCGUUAAGGAACUCGGCAAAAUGACCCCGUAACUUCGGGAGAAGGGGUGCUCUUUAGGGUUAACGCCCAGAAGAGCCGCAGUGAAUAGGCCCAAGCGACUGUUUAUCAAAAACACAGGUCUCUGCUAAACCGUAAGGUGAUGUAUAGGGGCUGACGCCUGCCCGGUGCUGGAAGGUUAAGAGGAGUGGUUAGCUUCUGCGAAGCUACGAAUCGAAGCCCCAGUAAACGGCGGCCGUAACUAUAACGGUCCUAAGGUAGCGAAAUUCCUUGUCGGGUAAGUUCCGACCCGCACGAAAGGCGUAACGAUUUGGGCACUGUCUCAACGAGAGACUCGGUGAAAUCAUAGUACCUGUGAAGAUGCAGGUUACCCGCGACAGGACGGAAAGACCCCGUGGAGCUUUACUGUAGCCUGAUAUUGAAAUUCGGCACAGCUUGUACAGGAUAGGUAGGAGCCUUUGAAACGUGAGCGCUAGCUUACGUGGAGGCGCUGGUGGGAUACUACCCUAGCUGUGUUGGCUUUCUAACCCGCACCACUUAUCGUGGUGGGAGACAGUGUCAGGCGGGCAGUUUGACUGGGGCGGUCGCCUCCUAAAAGGUAACGGAGGCGCUCAAAGGUUCCCUCAGAAUGGUUGGAAAUCAUUCAUAGAGUGUAAAGGCAUAAGGGAGCUUGACUGCGAGACCUACAAGUCGAGCAGGGUCGAAAGACGGACUUAGUGAUCCGGUGGUUCCGCAUGGAAGGGCCAUCGCUCAACGGAUAAAAGCUACCCCGGGGAUAACAGGCUUAUCUCCCCCAAGAGUUCACAUCGACGGGGAGGUUUGGCACCUCGAUGUCGGCUCAUCGCAUCCUGGGGCUGUAGUCGGUCCCAAGGGUUGGGCUGUUCGCCCAUUAAAGCGGUACGCGAGCUGGGUUCAGAACGUCGUGAGACAGUUCGGUCCCUAUCCGUCGUGGGCGUAGGAAAUUUGAGAGGAGCUGUCCUUAGUACGAGAGGACCGGGAUGGACAUACCUCUGGUGUACCAGUUGUCGUGCCAACGGCAUAGCUGGGUAGCUAUGUGUGGACGGGAUAAGUGCUGAAAGCAUCUAAGCAUGAAGCCCCCCUCAAGAUGAGAUUUCCCAACUUCGGUUAUAAGAUCCCUCAAAGAUGAUGAGGUUAAUAGGUUCGAGGUGGAAGCAUGGUGACAUGUG